This 367-nucleotide transfer-messenger RNA is filed under the name Lactobacillus sp. It matches the Rfam family "transfer-messenger RNA". Rfam says of the family: Bacterial tmRNA, also known as 10Sa RNA or SsrA, is named for its dual tRNA and mRNA-like properties. Lineage: Bacteria; Bacillati; Bacillota; Bacilli; Lactobacillales; Lactobacillaceae. RNAcentral also lists the same sequence under 1 other name. The record is from RNAcentral.
GGGGGUGUUCUGGAUUCGACAGGUAUAGGUCGAGCCUGAACUGCGCUUCGUGAGUUGCGUUCACGUAAAAAACGCUAAACUUUUUUAUCUGCAAAAGAUAAUAACUCUUACGCUUUAGCUGCUUAAUUGUAGCUUAGUGUAGAUCCGUCCGCUGCGGCCCAGGUGGCGGAGUGCGGGUCUCAAAAAUUUGGGCUACGCUGCAAGUUCACGUCUGAAGCAAGCAGAAGAGAUUAAUCAGACUUAGCUAGCCACGGUUGCCUUGUCAAACGGCGUUUUGGUUAGUGAAAUUUAAAUGGUUUGACUAUGAGCGUAGAUGUUCGGGUGGCGAUAUGCUUGGACGCGGGUUCGAUCCCCGCCACCUCCAUCA